This 2095-nucleotide long non-coding RNA is filed under the name Schizosaccharomyces pombe (fission yeast). The record is from RNAcentral. Lineage: Eukaryota; Fungi; Ascomycota; Schizosaccharomycetes; Schizosaccharomycetales; Schizosaccharomycetaceae.
CCACCGUUGCCUUUUCCGAAAGGUAAGAAAGAUUUAUCGCAAGUGGAAGUGUAGGAGUAUGACGUGGUACGAACGGGACCAGUCGAAGAAGAAUUGAAGGCAAAGUCAAAUCCACCAAUGUAAGCUCCAUUAGCCAAAACAAAUCUAACUGGAACAAAGCUAUCCUGUUCAAGAUAACCUAAAUCAAAGGUUCCCAUACCAUAGGCACCUAUUCUCCAGUGAGCGUAUGCAUCAUAGUUAACAUUUGACCAUCCAGAAAUUGCCUUGUCUCCGAACCAACCGAAGAAAGCAUCAUCGACGUUCUUAACGAAUAAACUCCAGUUAUCAGUAGCAGGAACCCUGAAGAAAAAUUGAUAAACAAUUGUUUUGCAUGAAGAUGAAGUGGAAGACAUCCCUUCAGGAUUAGGAGGAUAAGCAGGAAGAUAAUCGGAAGCAGAAUAGGUGGGAAUGUCAUCAAGAGAUGAAAAUAUACCAGUAAAAAGAGGCGCACUCUGCUUUAAGUCUUUAGAUCCAAAAUAGGCUGGCUUAUUAAAAGUGCUCACCUCGGUAUAACCAUUCGAAGGGUGACAGAAUGUAGACUCAGAAGGCAAGUCAUAAUUGUAUACCGCGUAUUCUAAUCCACGAACUCCAUCACAUAUUUGAGUUGGAAUAACUUGAUAAGUUGUGGAUGAAGAAACGAAUGUUGUACCUGAUGUUCCACUAUAAAUUGUAGAAACUGGUGUACUUGAAACAGUAGAGCUUAUUGAACUGCUUACAAUGACAUUGUCAGUUGUUGAGCUUGAAGCACUUAUAGUUUGAGAUGAUGAAGGAAUGAAUGAGUCAGAAGAACUAACAGUUGUGAUAGGGAUACUGGAAGAUGAAUACUCAGACGAAGUCGAACUUGAGCUGCUUAUAGAAAGUUGGCCAGAGGUGGUGUUCGUAGCACUUGAAGUAUGGGUUGAAAUCGGGACAAAUGUGCUAGAGGAACUGGAUGGAGUUUCGGGGGUGAUAGUAGAAGUAAACUCGGAUGAUCCAGAGCUAUAGAUGGUUGUGUAACGAACGCAACUGCCAGUUUCCACCGAGACGCUGCUUGAACGAGCAGCGCUCGUAAAAAAAAGCAGUGUAAAUAUUAAGGAAAUGUACGAAUUCAUCGUAAAUUUUUUAGAAAAAUAUUCAAUCUAGCACUGAUUAGAACGUGGUUCCAAAUCUGUUCGGUUUUAGAAGAAUAGAUUAUGUCUAGAUUUGAACGUUCUACAAGGAGAAUCGGGUUUUUUAUACUAAAAAAAUUUUUAAAUGUGGAAUUUAAGACAAAGGCUAUGAAUGUAACUCAACUUCUUCAUAUUUAGAUGCUUUCUAUAUAUAGAGUAUACUCCUUGUUUUUUCCCAGCAAAGUAACUAUUGGUGUACACCAAGUUUGCAAAAAUGAUAACCAGUGUUGCUACUUUCGGAAAAUUUAAGUUGUUGCUGCGAAAAUCUAAAAAUAUUAAUAACGUUAAUUGGUCAAUUAGAAACGCCUAACUAAAGAUCUAUUCGAUUCCAUACAAAACAGAAGAAAGAAGUAACGAUAAAAUGUCUUUCAUAUUGGUUUUGAAAUAAACCGGGCAUCAAGCGAAGCUCAAGUCGAAAUGAAAGCUCGAAUCACUAAAUCCUUUUCAUUCUCAUGAACCUAUUUUCCUUUUUUUUUUUUGAUACGUUCGGUAGCAUGUUUGCUAUAUUCUCAUCCUUUAAGUGUUUGAUUUUAUAUAGCAAAAACAAUACACAAAUUGAUAUGAUAGCUUAAAAUUGUGAUUGUUGGAUAUAUACAAUACGCUAUUUGUAGUAAGUACGCCGCUUAAUUAUAUUUAAUGAAUUUUAUGGAGUUGCGUCCCGUUUUAACAUUUUCUUUAUUUGUCAGCUACACAGUUUGGUAUCUGGUUUAACGUGUCAGCAAAACUAGACUACGUUGCGCAUUACUAUAUGCCAUAUGUUAAAACACUACUUAAGAUCGGCUUACAAGAUAAUCACGAAAUACUAUCCAUCUAUCAGUUCAGAUACCCGUUGAUUACAGUUUUAAAAUUGAUUGUAAAUAGAGCUACAACUGAACCUCGUUCCUCAGCUCAGUUAUAAGCUAUACCAG